GAUGAACGCUGGCGGCGUGCCUAAUACAUGCAAGUCGAGCGAACGGACGAGAAGCUUGCUUCUCUGAUGUUAGCGGCGGACGGGUGAGUAACACGUGGAAAACCUACCUAUAAGACUGGGAUAACUUCGGGAAACCGUAGCUAAUACCGGAUAAUAUUUUGAACCGCAUGGUUCAAAAGUGAAAGACGGUCUUGCUGUCACUUAUAGAUGGAUCCGCGCUGCAUUAGCUAGUUGGUAAGGUAACGGCUUACCAAGGCAACGAUGCAUAGCCGACCUGAGAGGGUGAUCGGCCACACUGGAACUGAGACACGGUCCCGACUCCUACGGGAGGCAGCAGUAGGGAAUCUUCCGCAAUGGGCGAAAGCCUGACGGAGCAACGCCGCGUGAGUGAUGAAGGUCUUCGGAUCGUAAAACUCUGUUAUUAGGGAAGAACAUAUGUGUAAGUAACUGUGCACAUCUUGACAGUACCUAAUCAGAAAGCCACGGCUAACUACGUG
RNAcentral lists this ribosomal RNA (497 nucleotides) under uncultured bacterium. RNAcentral describes it as "partial 16S ribosomal RNA". It matches the Rfam family "Bacterial small subunit ribosomal RNA", at positions 28 to 507 of the family's 1533-position model. The record is from RNAcentral.